AUGGGCCCAGCAUGGCCCCCACCCUGCUGGGCUCUGCCCCUCUGCAGGGCCGACCAGACCCCACAGCAGCUCCAGCUGGCAAUGCCAAGGUGCCAAGGGAACCCUCCGUGGGCCGGGGGUGCUGCUGGGUCUGCCCACCCUGCCCCCCAAAGUUGGUGGUGCUGGGGAAAGCAUGUGCACCUCCCACCCCCAAAUCCCUCCUCAUCCCACCCCCAAUCCCUCCUCAUCCCACCCCCCAAUCCCUCCUCAUCCCACCCCCAAUCCCUCCUCAUCCCAUCCCCAAUCCCUCCUCAUCCCAUCCCCAAUCCUUCCUCAUCCCAUCCCCAAUCCCUCCUCAUCCCACACCCCAAUCCUUCCUCAUCCCAUUCCCCAAUCUCUCCUCAUCCCAUCCCCAAUCCUUCCUCAUCCCCCCCCCCAUCCCUCUGCAUCCCAUCCCCAAUUCCUCCUCAUCCCACCCCCCAAUCCUUCCUCAUCCCACCCCCCAAUUUCUCCUUAUCUCAUCCCCAAUCCUUCCUCAUCCCAUCCCCAAUCCUUCCUCAUCCCAUCCCCAAUUCCUCCUCAUCCCACCCCCCAAUCCUUCCUCACCCCAUCCCCAAUCCUUCCUCAUCGCAUCCCCAAUCCCUCCUCAUCCCACCCCCCAAUUUCUCCUUAUCCCAUCCCCAAUCCCUCCUCAUCCCAUCCCCAAUCCCUCCUCAUCCCACCCCCCAAUUUCUCCUCACCCCAUCCCCAAUUUCUCCUCAUCCCACCCCCCAAUUUCUCCUCAUCCCAUCCCCAAUCCCUCCUCAUCCCACCCCCCAAUCUUUCCUCAUCCCACCCCCCAAUUCCUCCUCAUCCCACCCCCCAAUUCCUCUUCAUCCCAUCCCCAAUCCUUCCUCACCCCAUCCCCAAUCCCUCCUCAUCCCACCCCCCAAUUUCUCCUCAUCCCACCCCCUCUCCUCUGCCGGGGCUCCAGCUCUGAGGGGGCUCGGGGGGCUCCGGCAGAGGGGUUUGGGAAGGAGGAUGCUGGACCUGGGGGAUGUUCCUGAGCCAUGGCAGCACCUUCCCAGCCAGGCCCGUUCCCGAGAGCCGCCCCCGGUGCCCGCAGCGCCCCCGGCCCGUGGGGACCCCGGCGGGCACAUGGCGGGAGCAGCCCCGGCCCCGCUCGCAGCCGGCAGAGCCGUGCGGGGAGGGAGGGAGCAGCUGGGUUGCCAUGGAGGAGAGGAAGCAGCUGAAGGAAAAACCUUUCCAGGCAGGGAGGAAUCGGUGGGGGACUCGCCAGGGGCGGGGGGAGCAUCUCGGCGCGGUUUGGAGGUGGAGGGGCCACAUCUGCCUCUCGAUUGA
This 1320-nucleotide long non-coding RNA is filed under the name Taeniopygia guttata (zebra finch). Its description in RNAcentral is "lncRNA (ENSTGUG00000020099.1)". Lineage: Eukaryota; Metazoa; Chordata; Aves; Passeriformes; Estrildidae. The record is from RNAcentral.